This 912-nucleotide ribosomal RNA is filed under the name Triticum aestivum (bread wheat). RNAcentral's name for it is "partial small subunit ribosomal RNA". Lineage: Eukaryota; Viridiplantae; Streptophyta; Magnoliopsida; Poales; Poaceae. The record is from RNAcentral.
AUGUACCAGAACAUUAAUGAAGCAUCAUGGGGCGAGCAACAACUCAUCAGUGAGAUAAGAACAUUCCUUGAAAACAAGAGGUACUUGAUAGUUAUUGAUGACAUAUGGGAUAAAUCCGUCUCGGAAAAUAUCAAGUAUGCAUUGAUUGAGAAUGGAUACGGAAGUAGAGUAAUCACACCAACUCGGGUUCUUGAUGUUUCCCUGCAAGCUGGUGGUGUAUAUCGGCUGAAACCUCUUUCUGUUGUCAACUCAAGAAAGUUGUUCUAUCAAAUAAUAUAUGAGAUGGAGAACAAGUCACAACCUAAUCAAUUGGUUGAAGUAUCUGAGAGAAUUUUAAAAAGAUGUGGGGUAGUUCCGCUAGCUAUCCUUGCGAUAGGUAGCUUGCUGUCUAGUGAAAAGGGAAGAGCACAUACACAUGAGUAUUGGUCCAAGGUGUACAAAUCCAUCAGUUCGGGGCUAGACAAUAAUCAUGAUGAUGUGAAGAACAUGAGGAGAAUAUUAUCUGUAAGUUACUCUGGCCUACCUCUGCACCUAAAGACUUGCUUACUGCAUCUUGGUUUGUAUCCAGAGGAUUAUGAGAUUGAAGCAGAACAACUAAUUUGGAAAUGGGUUGGUGAAGGUUUUGUGAAAAAAGAACAAGGGAGGAGCUUAUAUGAAGUAGGAGAGGAUUACUUGAAGGAGCUAGUUAAUAUAAACUUGGUCCAGCCUUCAUAUUUAAAUAGCCUUCGUCGUGUGCAUGAUAUGGUUCGUGACUUCAUCACUUAUUUGUCACAUGAGGAGAAUUUUCUAACAACACCAGAUUGUCAGCAGUUAGAGUAUCUACCAAGUAAGAUACGCCGAUUGUCCUUGCAGACCAGGAAUGAAGAAGUUGGUAAUCAGCUGGCAACCGUGAGCUUGUCCCACGUGAGGUAA